Molecule: ribosomal RNA, 432 nt
Filed under: uncultured bacterium
Lineage: Bacteria
Description: partial 16S ribosomal RNA
Rfam family: Bacterial small subunit ribosomal RNA
Source: RNAcentral
AACGAACGCUGGCGGCAUGCCUAACACAUGCAAGUCGAACGAGACCUUCGGGUCUAGUUGCUCACGGGUGCGUAACGCGUGGGAACCUUCCCUUAGGUUCGGAAUAACUCCCCGAAAGGGGUGCUAAUACCGGAUAAUUUCUUCGGACCAAAGAUUUAUCGCCUUUGGAUGUGCCCGCGUUGUAUUAGCUAUUUGGUAGGGUAAAAGCCUACAAGGCGACGAUCCAUAGCUGGUCUGAGAGGAUGAUCAGCCACACUGGGACUGAGACACGGCCCAGACUACUACGGGAGGCAGCAGUGGGGAAUAUUGGACAAUGGGCGAAAGCCUGAUCCAGCAAUGCCGCGUGAGUGAUGAAGGACUUAGGGUUGUAAAGCUCUUUUAACCGGGAUGAUAAUGACAGUACCGGGAGAAUAAGCUCCGGCUAACUCCGUG